GCAUUGAGUUCCCUCUCUUCGGAUCACCAGCUCGGUUUUCCGAGGUGUUACAGCCUCUGCCACAUCCAAGGACACCAGCAGCGAGCAGGAGGCUGUGGAGGGAUGGAUAUGGAGAGGCUUUCACGGGACAUUUGUCACCCAAGCACUGCCUGGAGCAGGAACCUGGAGCAGGAACCCAGGCAGGCCAGGAGCCCAGGGAUGGCUGAUGUCUCACCUCUGUCAGGGGACAGGUUGGCCCGUUUGGCUGGAGGGGAGGUUGGCCUGUCCUUGUCUGCUGGCUCGUAUCUCUUCCUACUUCCUUUGUCAGCUGCCUGAAAUGGAAUUAGAACAGACAACGGAGCUGAGCAGCCACUUCCCUCCAAGGAACCAUCAUCUCCCUGCGAUGGUACCUGGCUCAUGCAACCACCUCUCCCAUUAAACU
Pipra filicauda (Wire-tailed manakin) is the source of this 421-nucleotide long non-coding RNA. RefSeq lists it as uncharacterized. NCBI's taxonomy places the organism in Eukaryota, Metazoa, Chordata, Aves, Passeriformes, Pipridae. The transcript is spliced from 3 exons. The record is from RefSeq and is a predicted model, not a curated record.